GGGGACUGGCCCAGAUUUCAGGGGUGAAAUCUGUGUACUGUGGACAGCAAUAUCCAGUGGGGUCAAGCAGCUGUGUAAUUGCCAUCUCCUACACUGACACUUGCUGUGCAUUUUUGAGGUGGCAGGGGCAUGGAGUGGCUCAGCUCAUAGACAAACAGUGACUGAUUGGAGGUACUGGCAGAAUCACCAUCACCAAGUGCGGGAGAGUCAGGAGGGUGAGAAGCAGCCACAGCCGCUCCAGCAUCUUCCUGCCCUGCAAACUCAAGGAUCUCAGAGCCGGACACAUCGUCUCUCUAAGGCCGGUUAUUCUGCUCUUCAGACAUUUGACACCAAUAUUCAAAUUCUUCUUUCACACGUUCCCUCUCUCCCCCUCUUGACCCACAAUUUGUGAUGAUCUUUUUCUAGCCCCUUAUAUACUUUACUCUCUCCUUCUCUUUGACACUCCCUUCCAUUCCACUCCUCCCUUUCCCAGUCUCCCCACGCUUUCCUGGGCUUUUUUUGUAUCUUCUGUUCCUUUUUCUGUCCAAGCAGUAUUCUGUGCCUCUGUUCCUGUUCUUGUCACUCAGACCUUCCUACCCAAACCUCGACCACCAAUGGGCCCUGCCAAGCCUUCCAGGUUUGGUCAGGUUGUAGAAUUUCACCCAAGCAUCCUGCCUCACCUCCCCUGUUCCUGAACCUUUCCCUCUAAAGUUGUUUGAAAUUAUCUUUCUCCCUCACACACAGAUUCAUGACAGAACCGGAAAAUGCUGCUGUCCCCUUCCCCUCUGGCUUAUCCAAGACACUUCAAGCCCCAAUAAGAAGCCCCAGUAACUCCACUUAGGGGCAACACACUGAAAGCAAUGGGUAUCCUGGGAAGCACACCAUAAACAGUGACAAGUACCUUCACCACUGUGUCACCCCUGCCACCAGCAACCAAUGCCAGCAAAGGGCCACUAUUUAAUUGAGGGAAGAGGGUGUCUCUCUGCCCUGAAAGUGGAGGCAGAAGUUGGGUGUCUGGCUGUAAUGGGCAUAGUAGAGAUAGAAAGAGCCUGGAGCACUGGACCUGGUACAAGACUGGUGGCCUGACACAGGCUGUGAACCAAAGUCAAUCCAUGUGUCAUGGAGUCACCGGGCCAAUGCUCUGGAACUACCCCGUACAAAGCCAGUCGGGACCCUAGGGUAGCAUGCCUCCUCUCUCUGAGCAUACUGUCACCAGGGCAAGAAGCUUACACAGCUUUAACCUUCCUGGAUCUGACCUCGGAGCAUUCAGCAUCCCCUUCCACACCUUGUGCUUCCUGCAGCGAGUCCACCUGGGCAGGGCUCCUGGGGAAGCUAGAGGGUCCUGCACCCCAGCUCCUCAGUCAGCAGUGACUCUCAGCCAGCAUGUAGAACAGAAUGGUUUAUUAGUUGACAGGAACACAGCGCAGAACAGAGCUUGCUAGCACAGAAAUCAGUGACUUUCAGCCAAGUCCAUCCUGGGGAGUCCUGGGCCAGGCAGCCUGGACUUCCCCUCUUCCAGUCCCCACAGGCAGAAUGCCCAACUUCCAGUGACCUGAUCUUUGACACCCCCAUUGCUCCUCCUCCUUCUCUUUGUCUCGCUUCCCAGGAAAAGAGUCACCUGGUUGUCAUCUGGUAGCAUCCCCCUCAUGGGUCUCAGGUUAUGAAGGGCACUGGCCAUAGCAUACACCCAGGCUGCUGGAGCAGCCUCACGUGCCCCAGAGGUCUCAGCCAAAGUCACACACCUAUUCCCACCACCGAAGAAUUGGUGCGGCACACAGAGAAACGGAGGCGCACACAGUAUUCAUGCAAAACAGUAAAACUCUGUGUGAUGGGGUCCGCUUACCCCACACUAGCCCAGACAGGGUUAAGCCCCAGGUAUUGACAGCGGAAGUCCCGCCCCUGGCAAGACUGGGCAUGCUCCAAGUGCUCUAGUAGUAUAAAGGGAGGGAGACCAGCUCAUGCUGGGCUGGAGGCCGCUGAGUCAGUGGCAAGCCGCUAUGCCACUGUUAGGGCCCUGGGUCAGGGCCUGGUGGAGUGGGGCUGCCACACCCCAAUGCUGUAGACUGUGGCCACUAGGCCACGCUACCCUACACCAAAGGGCUGCUUUAUGGACUCUGGCCGUUAGGCCCCACUGCCCUGUAGCAAAGGGAGGCUCUAUAGACUCUGGUCAUAAGGCCACGCUGCCCUGCCCCGAAAGGGUGGCUCUAUAGACUCUGGUCGUUAGGACAUGCUGCCCUGCACCAAAGGGUGGCACUAUAGAUUUUGGCCGCUAGGCCAUGCUGCCCGGCACCGAAGGGUGGUGCUAUAGACUCUGGCCUUUAGGCCGUGCUGCCCUGCCCCAAAGGGCGGCGCUAUAGACUCUGGCCGCUAGACCACGCUGCCCUGCACUGAAGGGCUGCUUUACGGACUGUGACCGAUGGCCCACACUGCUCUGACCCUAGGGGCGGGGACUGUCACACUCACAUAGGCUCAACAGUAAGGCUCACAUAGGCUCACAUACAACAUAACAAGGGAAAAUCCCCACUUU
This is a non-coding RNA of Chrysemys picta bellii (western painted turtle), 2506 nucleotides long. Lineage: Eukaryota; Metazoa; Chordata; Testudines; Emydidae. The record is from RefSeq and is a predicted model, not a curated record.